Molecule: long non-coding RNA, 13556 nt
Filed under: Salvia miltiorrhiza (redroot sage)
Lineage: Eukaryota; Viridiplantae; Streptophyta; Magnoliopsida; Lamiales; Lamiaceae
Description: long non-coding RNA (SMIL_LNC007852)
Source: RNAcentral
GACAAUAAAUUCAACAACAAAUUCCAUCAAAACAAAUUCAAGCUCAGGAGGAGUGAGGAGGCGAAAUCAGGGUUUCGGGCUCAAAGAGGUGGCGAUUUGGGAUUUGGAUUUCGGCUCAGAAGGCGGCGAUUUGAGGGAACAACGAGGGGUUGUCGUUGUUACCUGAGAAAUAGAGAGAGCGAGGGAUGAAGGGUGACGCAGAGAGAGGCGGUCGGUGGCGGCGUUCCUCGUCGGGGAAGAGAGGCGGCGGCGCGUAGUGCAUGUAGCUCCUCACCUUGAAAAAGGAGGCGACGAUUUGAGGGAGGCAACGAUUUGGGGUGUUGGGUCAGAGGGAGGCGGCGAUUUGAGGGACGUUUGCUUUGAGGGAGGCGGCACCUUAAGGUGAAGAAGAAGGAGUAAGGCGACGAGAUCAAAGGUUGAGCUUUUAGACGAAGAAGAAGAAGGCUGAGGCGCCGCUCCAGAUUUAGAAAAUAGGGUUUGAACGAGUGAAUAUUAGAAGUAAUCUUAGGGUUAUUUUAUUGCUAAUUAUGUUUGAUUAAGUUUAAGUGGAGAGAAUUUUUAAUUAGUGAGGUGGGUCCUCUAAUGGCAAAUAAAGUAAAUACAUAAAGUUAUAAAGGGUAUAAUUGUAUAAAAAGUGAAACUUGACUCUUUUUUGUGGACAAAAAAAAGAGAGAAUCAAGACUCUUUUUCGUGGAUGGAGGGGGUAUUAGGUUGUGGGUUGUGUAGAUGGAUGCGAGAGAAAUGAAUAUUUUAUUAAAAAGUUGAGUAAAGUUGGGUUGGAUGAGUGUCACGACCGUGGGUAGUCUAAAACCAGCCAACAAUUGUUGCAUCCUCUUCAUUCUUCACUUAAGGACUUCAAGAGUAGUAGAGAGCCUCUAAUUCAUUUCUGCCAAAUUCUCAAGGUAAGAUUGGCUUUAAUGCUUCCACAUUCUUCCAUAUUUCACCUGCAUUAAUGCAAGAACAACAAUUGAUAUGUUUCAGUUAUUCCCCAUUUAAGAUCAUUCAACUACAGCAGAUACUACAACAACCAACACCAAGCAAUUUCAGGGUAAGCUUUGCCUUGAACUUUACCACCUCCUGCCACAAUUUCUCCUUCAUUCAUUAAGGCAGUUACUAACAAUUAUUCUGUUUCUAGUUCUCAAUCAGCAAUAUCACAGCAACAGCCAAUCAACACAUUCUCAAGGUAUUUAUGCUACCUCAGUUAUUCAAACCAGUUUGCAUUCAUACCAACAAGGCUGAUCAUAUUCAUAAAUGAUAGAGGGCCGUAUAUGUGCAUAAUGAAUUUAGCAGUUACAUGCUUUAUAUCACAUAACACCAGUUACAUUUUCCUUAUGUAAGUAUUAGUGCGUAUGAGAACUCGAGCAGGGCAUAACUCUGAAGCAAAGCAUAGAACAGACAACAUUUUGUUUAUAUCUCACUUUAGGAAUCAUAGAGGGAAGUCACAUGUGUCUCGAUUAUUUGGUAUAUGAACUCAGAAAAUCACAGCCACAUCAAAACCACUAAAGAUCUUGUCUUGCUUGAGCUUAGGGACGCUUCUCGCUAUAGCCGGACGGUGGUGGUGAUCUCUGUCAGGACCAAGGAGAGCCCGGAUCAGAGAAGGGAGGCCGUACCAACGAGAGGACGAACACCGGAGAGGUAGCGGCGCGGCAGCGCAGCGGGUGUACCAGAGACGGCGGAGACGAACUGAGAUGACGGAACCUGGGUUCGAUUCUCUACCCACCUUGGUGUGUGCGUUAGGGUUUUUUGUAAAAGGCUCGGGGAAAAGAGCGAGGCGACGCCGACCUCGCUGAUUCACGGACGACGCGGACUCGCCGGCCUCCACCGGUGACGACGAUGAUACGGGCAGGGGAAGAGCUAGGGCACGUUUUGAAGAACGGGAGAGAUGCAAGACUCGAUUUUUCGGAAGGGAAAACGAUCUGAGGAAUUGAAAAAGGAACGAGACGAGGAGAGGAAACACGGCUGGUCGUCAACCUCGCCGGAACCGUUCGCGGCGGUAGCGGGAGAGAGAGUAGGACUGUGGGUGUGUUCUGAUUUGAGCGAGAGAACUGUGUAUUGGGGGAGGAAAUAUAGGGAUUGGGCUUUUCCUUUUAAUUGCUUUCGGCUAAGUUAUUUUACUCAGUUGGGCCGCCCUCAUUCACUCUUAGGGCCACUCAUUAUUUAAUUGAGGGUAAUUUUAAAUAUAGCCCCCAAUUUUCUCAAGCCUCUUAGUUUAAUUAGAUAAUAAAAAUAAUUAUGAUGAUACUAAUACACCCUCACAGCCCUAUUUAAAAAUUUAUAAUAAAUUAAUUUUCAAUGAACACUGCGUAUAACUUAUAACCCCAACUCAAAUAUUUCUCAAACUUCUUAUUACAGUGGAGAAUAAGACACAUACUUUUUCUUCGUGUAGAGAGGGAGAGAGAGCCGCUGCGCCACCGCAUUGCCGCCGGCCAGAGACAGUUGGCUCUAGCUGCCUGCAUCGCUGGAUGAAAUGGUCGAUCUUACCCUUCUGGGUUCCGUUCUACUUGCCGUUUUGGGGGUUUUCCUCUUUUGUCUCUAUGGGUUCUUGAAAAAGAUUGAGGAGAGUAAGCAGUCGAAGAAGGGAGAUACCACCGCCGCCGCCACCAUCGUCAACGAUAGAGAAUGCAGAUCUAGGGACGGCGGCGAUGACAUCAUCAUUGUGGGUGCCGGAGUGGCGCCGCCCUCGCUUACACUCUCGGAAAGGUAUCGCCUUUUUACAUUGUUUUGCACUUUCAAGAAUGUUGGUUGGGUUGUUCAUUGUUGUGUUUUGCAAUUUUGAAUGCAUGGAUGAAUAAUUUUAUGAAGAUGGUCACAAAAAUUGAAAUAAAUCAGAAUGGUUUGGAAUUUGUAUCCGUUUCCCUUUUAUUUCACCUGAUUUCUUCAUGUUGUUGGCUUGUGUUUAUUUGGAAUCUUGUUUUCAAUCAAGGAUGGGCGAAGGGUUAGGGUGAUUGAGAGAGAUUUGACUGAGCCUAACAGGAUUGUGGGAGAACUCUUACAACCAGGUGGAUAUCUCAUCGUUGCAACAGGUGCUCGGGAACUGGAGCUAUUCUGUUUUCAUGUUCUGGUAGUUUUGUGCUGUAAGAAUACGUUAGUUCUGUUAUUUUGCACUAAAAUGGAAGGCAAUGGAAAAGAUUUACACAUUACUUUAAUGGUCAAUCCUCUUAUUGUUUUGUCAUAAUUCUGGUUAUUGUGCUUGGCCAAAUAUCAAGGUGUAUCUAGUUCUUCCGAAUGCAUGGGAAGUAAUAUGAAACCUUGUCCUAUUGAAGCAGAUUCUGGAAUAAUUUAAGCCCCAGAUAAGAAGCACGUGGACCACAAAUUCUGUAUUUCUUUCAAGAAUUUGUGUUAUAUCCUUUUUUUUGCAUCCAGAGUGCGAGUAAAUUUGAUACAUGUCCGAGCAUAGUGUUGAUCUGCCAAUUUCAGAACUUAUGCCUGGGCUUAGUGUUUCAUUGACUAAUGAAAAAUUGAAGCAUUUGCAUGUAUGGCACAUAUUAUUAGUUAUUACCAACCAAAGUCAACUUUGAACCCCCCCCCCGCUUCUAGGGUGAAAGUACAUCUAUCAUAACUUCAUGUAAUUAAAAGAGUUAGAUGACAGAGUUUAUAACUGUUAUUGUUUCUCAUCAUUUUGUAGGCUUUGAAGCUUGAAGAGUUUGGUGUAAAUGCUUUAGAUGCACCUAAUGUGUGUUAUUUGCGAGAUGUGGCUGACGCGGAUAGACUUGUAGAUAUGAUGGGAUCUUGCAAAGGGGUGAAGUUUGUCAAAGGAACUGUCUUGACAUCAUUCGAUUUUAACGCUGAUGGGAAGGUAUUACUGUUCUUCCGUUUGCUUGUUUAAUUCUUUGCAACUUCCGACCCCUGGUAGCAUCAUUAUGGCCCAGUUUCAAACUGGCACAUCAUUUUAUAAGGAAAUUCAAAAGAAAAUUUUGACCCUUGAGAGUGAAUUUUGAGGAAACGAUUUUUUUUUAGAAGAUUCAAGGUUACUUCAUGAUUAUGUAAAGGUCCAAUGAAAAUUAUAGUUUUCAGUUGUUUGGUUAUCCGAAUAUAUGAAAUCAGACACUAAACAACUCUCAGUUAGGCUUCAUCUGUCCCCAACUACGUAUUCUUAUACUUGCAUUGGCCAACUCUUUUAAUAGGUCCGUGCUAUUAAUCUUCAAGACGGGAGCAAGCUUCCUGCAGAUAUGGUUAUGAUUGGUAUAGGGAUUUGUCCAAACACAAGUCUGUUUGAAGGCCAAUACCAUGGAAAAGGGGGGAAUCAAAGUAAAUGGAAAAAUGCAAUCGAGCAACAGCUCAGUCUAUGCAAUUGGGGAUGUAGCUGCUUUUCCAGUCAAAAUAGUCGGUGAAACGCGCAGGCUUGAGCAUGUUGACUCUGCACGGAAGGCAGCGAGGCAUGUUGUUGCCACUAUCAUGGAACCUGAAAAGAUGGGCGAAUUCGACUAUUUACCCUUCUUCUACUCCAGGGUCUUUACUUUGUCUUGGCAGUUUUAUGGGGACAAUGCGGGGGAAGUCAUCCAGUUUGGAGACUUCACUGGAAAUACUUUUGGAGCGUACUGGAUGAACAAAGGCCAUUUGGUCUGAUCUUUCCUCGAGGGUGGAACAAAGGAACAGUACGAGGCAUUAGCCCAGGCCACGCGGCUUAAACCAAAAAUCGAGGACUUGGCUGAGCUCGAGAGCCAGGGUUUGGAAUACGCCUUGUCCGUGAUCCAGAAACCUCUGUCUACACGCCCAACAGAUGUCGGUGGCUCUACUCUCAUCCUCGACAAACCACUGCAUGUGUGGCAUGCUACUGCGGGAGUUAUUGUCGCUGCAUCUGUGGCGGCCUUCGCAUACUGGUAUGGAAGAAAGCGCAAGAGGUGGUGAAAAGUUGCCUUCUGCUUCUUUGAAGAUUCAUUAUUGUAUAAUGCACUUCACCUGUUGUAGCAUUUUGUAUGUCAAGAGAAAAGCUCAAUACUGUUUGUGCAAUUUAUUUUCAUUCAGAAAGAGAGGAAGUUUAAUCAAUAUCAAUAAAUUGUUCUCGGACUUCUUUGAGUUUGAGGCAGCUACAUGUAAUGAAGUAAUUAUAUCCUUAAUAAUUUUUUCUUGUAGCGCAAGAGCUGGAAAUGCAAUUACAUCUUUUGACAUCUUUUGACACUUUGAUACCCUGUUCAGAAUUUCUUUUAACGCUGAUGGGAAGGUAUUACUUUGAUACUCGUUCAGAAUUUCUUUACAAAGAGGACACCCUAUAGGCCUAUAUACAACAACAAUGUCAUCUAUAUACAUUAUGUUAUGCAGAUCACGUGAAACUUAAGACUAUUCACUAAAAAAAAAAAAAACUAAAUAAUGUACAAACAAAGCAAACUAAAGUGGACGACUCUAACCCAAAUUGUCAACUUCAACGCGAAACAACCUUCUGCAUUGAUUAUCACUGUUCCCUUAGCGUCUAGGGUUUCGUCCUCUAGUCUUCUUCUAGAGUUUGGUUUCUCGUUUGAGUCUUGGUCAAGGCUUUAUUCCCUUCCGGUCGGCGGCCCUCAGCCGCCUUUUGAGUUUCUUCCUCUCCUGGUUUUCGUUUGCUUUGUUUCCCCCUGUUUUCUCCCUUUUUGCGCGAAUUCUGUUUUCUGGCUUUUACUUUCUAGUUACGCUUGUGUGUGGAGUAGUGGGUUUUUGUUUGUGUUUUCUUCUCAUUGUGGUGCAGGUAUGGAGAGGAUUGGUACAUCUCGGGAUUCUGACUUGGUGAACGGCCCGGAAGAGAGAACGGAUAGAGAAUCGAAGAUUAUUGAUAUCUCCGCUGGGUUAUCUGAUGAAAAUCUGCAGAAUAAGAAGUUUUGCCUCGUUGGGAGUCUCAUUGCUGCUAAACCCUCGAAUGGCUAUCAUCUGAUUGAGAUCAUGAAAAAAUCUUGGAAGACUUCGACAGAGUUUGAAGCGAGAGAAUGGCGAAAGAAUAUGUUCCUUUUUACAUUUGAAACAUGGGAAGACAUGGAGUGGGUUCUGAAGAGACAACCAUGGCAUUUUGAUAAUCACCUGUUUGCUGUUAUGGUGCUUGAUGACAAGAUUCAACCCUCAAACAUGUGGACAGAGGAAGUUUUUGGGUUCGUGCUUACAACCUUCCGAUUAAAUGUAUGAAUUCAGCUAUUAUACGCAAUAUUGGCAAGCAAAUUGGAAGUGUAGAAGAGGUUAAUGAGAGGGCCAAUUACGCGGGGUGUUUUGCCAGAUUCAAAGUCAACUUCGACAUUACCGCCCCACUUCUUCGAGGCAUUACGAUCUUCUUUGAAGCACAACAGCUGUGGAUUCCUUUAAAAUAUGAAAACCUCCCUGUUUACUGCUAUAAAUGUGGAAUCAUGAGCCACCACACUCGAGCUUGUGAGAAAGAGGUUGAAGAAGACGAGACAGGAAGACAGUUCGAGGAUUUAACGUAUGGCCCUCUUCUCAAGGCCUCUCCUCUUAAAAGAUUGCGCCCGAUGAAAAAACAGAUAGGCAUGCCUAAUAAACCAUAAAAUCCCAGCAAAGUUUUGCUCUUCCACUCUUCAUCCCAUCCUCUAGUGCCCCCUACAAAACCCCGUCCACCACCACUCUCCCAUGACCCCUCCCUUCCACAUCACCACACACCUGUUGAAUCUCUCCCCCACCCACAAAAACAAACCACGCUCCAAACCACGGAAACUUUUAACCCCAAUAAGCCAAACGAUAAGUCCCCAAAACACCUUACAGCUCCUGAUCCCUCUACACUUUUAAACUUCUCAAACCAAACCAAUCUUUCCAACAUCCCCAAGCCCUCCAAUAUCAGUUUGGACACCCAGAAUAAACCUACCAACUCAUGUCGUACAACAGCUCCGAUUACAGCUCCCUUCAAUCCUAUUGACGAUUUAACCCCAACCCGCGAUAUUGCGAAACUCCUUAAUCUCAAGCUCACAGCACAACCCACAUCCCAACCAAAACACCCCACUCAAAAAACCUGGUCUAGAACCGAUCUCCAAACCCAAAGACUCCCAAACUCCACAAAACCUCAUCAAACUCCAAUCAUCGCAAAAGACACAACGGUUGAGCUGGUUCAAAAACGUCUUAAGGGAACAAUACUCGAUGAUACUUCUUCUUCAAUUGCGCUAUCGGCGGAGAUUGCUUCGGAGCAAUCCCGCCGGGCACAAUGAAUUGCUUAAGUUGGAACUGUCGGGGGCUUGGGAACCAAUCAACAGUUCGUCAGUUUGAUUGGCUAAUCAAACAAAAGAAGCCCAAAUUAGUGUUCAUUAUGGAAUCUAAACUCAUGGAGACGAAAUGGACACCAAUUCUUCAGAAAAAUGGUUUUGAGAAUUUUUUUGUGAUUGAUUGUGAUAAUGAUGAUGGAGGCAGGAAAGGCGGUCUGGGACUUCUCUGGACUAGUGAACUACGAGUGACUAUCAAAUCUACUUCACAGCAUCAUAUUUUAGCUUCAGUGGAUAAUCAAUGCAACUCUAUUUGGGAUUUCUGUGGUGUGUACGGGUGGAGCAGAACAGAGGAUCACCAUCAUACUUGGGAUUUAUUGCGCAAGAUUAGAUUGGAAGUAGGGAAUAAGUGGCUGUGUGGGGGGGACUUUAACGAGACUUUAUACCAUUUUGAGAAGAAAGGAGGCAACUUGAAAGCUGACUCGAGACUCUGUGCUUUCAGGGACGUGGUUGACAGUUGUGGCCUUCAGGAUUUGGGGUUUUCGAGCGAUCCGUUCACCUGGUCUAAUAAUCAGAGAGGAGAAGAUCACAUUACUGAAAGGCUGGACCGUUUCUUCGGCAAUGAAGCAUGGAUUGAGUGCUUUCCGGGCUAUGUUGUCACGCAUCUUACUAGAAAAUCAAGCGACCAUAGUCCGGUCCUUUUAUCCCUUGAUCGUGAUGAAGAGGAGGUUCGACCUCGUUCAAAGCCGUUCCGCUUCGAAGCAAUGUGGCUAAAGGAUGAGAGAUGCAAGCCUUUUUGCAAUAACUUAUGGCAACAAGGGGGCCUUUUGGAAUCGGCUACUGAUUUCAAGCAAAAACUAGAGGAUAUGGGGGUUGAGCUCAAGCAAUGGGAAAAGAGGGAAUUUGGACACAUCAGAAAGAGGUGCAAAGAACUCAGAGAAGAGCUAGGGGAUCUCCAAAAACCUUCUAACGAUCCUUAUACAAAAGAUAAGCAGAGAUUGGUGGAAGCUGAACUAGAUGAUCUGCUUUCAAAGGAAGAGAUUAUGUGGAAACAAAGAUCCAGAGCGGACUGGCUGGUUGAUGGGGAUAGAAAUACAGGGUUUUUUCAUCGAGUAGCAGAAGGCAGGAAAAAACGCAAUCAUAUACGUGAGAUUCAGAGAGGGGAUGGCUCGACUACCAGAAAACAUGAGGAGAUGGAUAUCAUUUUUAGAACUCAUUUCCAGGAACUCUUCUCGGCUAGCCCUUAUCAGAAUCCCGAAGAGGUCAUCCACUCCAUCGAGCCCAUGGUGUCAGNCCGCCGGCACAAUGAAUUGCUUAAGUUGGAACUGUCGGGGGCUUGGGAACCAACCGACAGUUCGUCAGUUUGAUUGGCUAAUCAAACAAAAGAAGCCCGAAUUAGUGUUCAUUAUGGAAUCUAAACUCAUGGAGACGGAAUGGACACCAAUUCUUCAGAAAAAUGGUUUUGAGAAUUUUUUGUGAUUGAUUGUGAUAAUGAUGAUGGAGGCAGGAAAGGCGGUCUGGGACUUCUCUGGACUAGUGAGCUACGAGUGACUAUCAAAUCUUCUUCACGGCAUCAUAUUUUAGCUUCGGUGGAUAAUCAGUGCAACUCUAUAUGGGAUUUCUGUGGUGUGUACGGGUGGAGCAGAACAGAGGAUCACCAUCAUACUUGGGACUUAUUGCGCAAGAUUAGAUUGGAAGUAGGGGAUAAGUGGUUGUGUGGGGGGGACUUUAACGAGACUUAUACCAUUUGAGAAGAAAGGAGGCAACUUGAAAGCUGACUCGAGACUCUGUGCUUUCAGGGACGUGGUUGACAGUUGUGGCCUUCAGGAUUUGGGGUUUUCGGGCGAUCCUUUCACCUGGUCUAAUAAUCAGAGAGGAGAAGACCAUAUUACUGAAAGGCUGGACCGUUUCUUCGGCAAUGAAGCAUGGAUUGAGUGCUUUCCGGGCUAUUUUGUCACGCAUCUUACCAGAAAAUCAAGCGACCAUUGUCCGGUCCUUUUAUCCUUUGAUCGUGAUGAAGAGGAUGUUUGACCUCGUCCCAAGCCGUUCCGCUUCGAAGCAAUGUGGCUCAAGGAUGAGAGAUGCAAGCCUUUUUGCAAUAACUUAUGGCAGCAAGGGGGCCUUUUGGAGUCGGCUACUGAUUUCAAGCAAAAAAUAGAGGAUAUGGGGGUUGAGCUCAAGCAAUGGGAAAAGAUGGAAUUUGGACACAUCAGAAAGAGGUGCAGAAAACUCAGAGAAGAGUUAGGGGAUCUCCAAAAACCUUCUAACGAUCCUUAUACAAAAGAUAAGCAGAGAUUGGUGGAAGCUGAACUGGAUGACCUGCUUUCAAAGGAAGAGAUUAUGUGGAAACAAAGAUCCAGAGCGGACUGGCUGGCUGAAGGGGAUAGAAAUACAGGGUUUUUUCAUCGAGUUGCAAAAGGCAGGAAAAAACGCAAUCAUAUACGUGAGAUUCAGAGAGGGGAUGGCUCGACUACCCGAAAACAUGAGGAGAUGGACAUUAUUUUUAGAACUCAUUUCCAGGAACUCUUCUCGGCUGGCCCUUAUCAGAAUCCCGAAGAGGUACUCCACUCCAUCGAGCCCAUGGUGUCAGAUGAUAUGAAUAAUGCCCUCACCAAACCGUACACGGCUGAUGAGAUUGUACGAGCUUUGAAACAAAUGCCCCCUCUCAAAGCCCCGGGGCCGGAUGGUAUGCCUACUAUCUUUUACUCCUCCUGUUGGUCUAGUGCUAAGUAUGAUGUUAUUCCCAUGGUGCUUAAAAUUCUUAACAAUGAGGCUGAUCAUGGUCCUUUAAACUCCACUUUUAUUUGCCUCAUUGCUAUAAAGAAAAAGUGUACUCUCCCUGCAGAUUUUCGCCCCAUAAGUCUAUGUAAUGUCAUUUAUAAACUUGUUUCCAAAGUUAUUACUAAUAGACUUAAGGUGUGUCUGCCCGAUAUCAUUCAUGAGAGUCAGUCUGCUUUCGUUCCGGGUCGGCACAUUACUGAUAACGCCCUUCUUGCUUUUGAGAUUUUCCAUAUGAUGAAACUUAAUAAAGCUAAGUCAAAAGGUUGUUUUGCUUUCAAACUUGAUAUGGCAAAGGCUUAUGACCGUGUUGAGUGGAGUUUUCUUGAUGCUAUGAUGAGACGGCUUGGUUUCCAUUCUUCUCUGGUUGACUUACUGAUGAGAUGUGUAUCUACUGUCUCCUUUCGUGUACUUGUGAAUGGCUUUCCAGGUGAUUCCUUUCAGCCAAGCCGAGGCCUACGGCAAGGAGAUCCACUUUUGCCCUUUUUAUUUCUUUUCUGUGCAGAAGCGCUCUCAGGACUGUUGCGCAAAGCUGAAACUACUCAUCUGCUUCAUGGAGCGCGUUUGUGUAGAACGGCUCCACAGAUCAGCCAUCUCUUAUUUGCGGACGAUUGCAUCAUCUUCGGCAGAGCGUGUGGGAAAGGAAUUGAGACUGUUCGAACCAUUCUAAACCGGUAUGAGGCGGCUUCAGGGCAAAAAGUUAAUCUCGACAAAUCGGCCAUAUCUUUCAUGGAGGGGUUCCGGAAUCUGUGAAACAAGAGUUGGCUGUCCAGUUAGGCGUAAGGCGAGAGGUACAACAAGGAAAAUAUCUCGGCAUACCUAGCUCGGUGGGACGAUCAAAAAUCGAGAUUUUCCAACUGUUAGUGGAUCGAAUCAGGAAAAAAGCUAAUGACUGGAAAAGACGAUACUUAUCAGGAGCAGGAAAGUUGAUUCUCAUUAAAUCCGUCCUCCAAUCCAUACCGACUUAUUUAAUGAGCUGUUUCAGCAUUCCUGACCAGAUCUGUCAAAGGUUGAAUAGUAUCGCUGCUAGUUUCUUCUGGGGGCAGAAAAAUGAUGAGAGGAGGAUUCACUGGAAAAGCUGGCGUAAACUUUGUGUACCUAAAAGUGAAAGAGGCUUAGGUUUUCGGGACUUAAGCCUGUUCAAUCAAGCUAUGCUAGCUAAGCAAUCGUGGAGGAUUCUUCAAAAUGAUUCAACUCUCCUUACCAGGUCUCUUAAGGCUCGUUAUUUUCCCAGGUCGGACAUCUUAACGGCUAAUCAAGCCCAUAAUCCAUCUUUCGUUUGGAGAAGAUUAUUAGUCGGGAGGGAUCUACUGGUCAAGGGAAUUGCGUGGAGGGUGGGAGACGGGAAAAGGAUUCGUAUUGGCAAAGAUGCUUGGCUACCAGAUGGCAAAGGAAACUUUAAAGCUGCUAGAGUGCAGGACCCUUGGGGUGACAUGAAGAUCAACGAGCUCCUGUUAGAUAAUACUCCAGCAUGGGACAUGCAAAAGGUGGAAACAAUCUUGCCCAGGGACGAGCUGUGGAAGAUCACUGAAAAGGUAAUUCAUAUUCGGUCAAAUCGAGAUACCUUCUCGCCUGUACACUUAAGAACAGAGAGGAACCUUCAUCUUCUUCGGAUGAAUCUUCCUUAUGGAAUUGGGUGUGGGGUUUGGCGGUAAUUCCUAAGGUGAAGCUUUUUCUGUGGAAAUGUUUGAGUGGCUGUCUCCCAACUGCCAAAGCUCUUAUCUCCCGUUCUAUCAUGAUGGAUCCCUGUUGUCGUAGAUGCGAUAAGCUCACGGAAACUAUCGAGCACGCUCUCAGGGACUGUCCCUGGGCGACGUUCCUUUGGGAGUCCUCACCUAUUCGACUUCAGCCAACAAAUCCGAGAGCUCCGUGGAGUCUGGUUGAGUGGAUUGGCAAAAUCAGAGAGGUUCCGGAAAAGGAGGUUCAUUGUCUUUUUGCCUCUGUUUUGUGGGCUUGUUGGUAUGCUCGUAAUCUUCUUGUGUUCCAGAACAAAAUCUUAUCUCACUCUGAUUGUUUGGUGAUAGCUGUAAGAGCCAUGUUGUUUAAUCCCCUUAGCUCAAGCAUGGUGAGCUCAAAACCAACCAGAGUGGACUGCUCUAGAGCGGCACAGGUGAAGAUUAAUUGUGACGCGGCGGUAGGAAGUGGGGCCGGGGCUGGUCUGGGAAUUGCUCUGUGCGACGUGGAGAACAAUCAGGUUGGUUAUAGGUUGGGCUUCCUUAAAGGAGUCUUCACGGUUGAGGAAGGGGAGGCUCAUGCUGUUCUUGAAGGCCUUCGUUUCAGUGUUGAAAAAGGUUUCACAGAUAUCAUUGUGGAGACGGACUGCCAUCGACUCUUUUGGAGACUACAUAAUCAUGAAGAUGAUCUCUCCCUCUUAGGAGAUAUCCUUAAGGAGAUUUACAGCAUUGUGGAUUCUUUGAACCAGGUGGAGUUUAGCUGGUGCCCGAGGGAGGAUAAUUGUGUUGCUGAUAGCUUAGCUAAUUAUGCUUUUGUUUCUCGUUCUGUUUUUAUUUCUUCGAAUGUGUGGCCUUUAUCUGUAAACUCUUCUUUGGUGGUUUAAUGAAAGGCACAUGUUUUCCCUAAAAAAAAAAAAGCAAACUAAAGUGAAAGAACACACUUCUAUUCUUAGAUUUCAAACAAUCCCAACGCAAACAUCAAAAACCUAAUAACUAGAAAUCCAAAUCAAGAAUACGUUUCUGAUUCAAAUUCACAAAAAAUAUAUACUAAAUUCAUUAGGGAAGAAAAAUUUACACAUACUUUCAACAUAUGACUUUUUUCGUUUUCAUAACUCUCAUUUAAAUUUUGCAUCUUAAAAAGCAAAAUAUCUUCAAACUCCAACAUAAACAAAUUGAAGAUGAUGUUGAACUUUGUUCUUCCUUAUGUUAAUGUUUUUCUUCUUUCUACGUCUGCGUCUCUGCGCGUUUGCUUGUCUCUUUUCUGUGUCUAUUAUCUGACGUGUUUAAUUAAAAUUUUGAGUUGGGGCUAUAAUGAUAGAGUUAUUAGGGUUAUUUAUAAGUAUUUUUAAUAUUAGAAUCAAGAUAGGGAUUAUACGUGAUUUAUCUGUUAAGAGAUUGUACACAUUAUUCUUCUUUCAAAUUAAUUUUUAUAAACUUUAAUUUAUUAAAAAUUUUAAAUAGGCUAUAAGGGUAUAAUAGUAAAAUUAUAAUAAUAAUAAUUAUUAUUUUUGAUAAGGGGCUAUAGAGAGAAAAUUGGGGGCUGUGUUUAAAAUUACCCUUUAAUUGAUCGACUAAUAAUAUUAAAUGAUAUGGGCUGGAAUAUUAUUUCACCUUGGGCCUUAUCAGUUAAUUGUGGUGGGCCACAUUUAUUUAUUUCAGUUGGGCUGUUACUAUUUCAUUUGGGCCCAGAUUUAUUUAAUUACUUGAGCCAAUGAAUUAUUUCAGUUGAGCCUUUCAUUUUAAUUAUUCAGGUUCAUUUUCAUUCAUUUAUUUACUGGGCUACCAUGACUUAUUUAAUUCAGGUCCACUUUUACAUAUUUAAUUAUUAGGUUGCCUUAUGUUUGAGCCUUUUAAUCAUUGGUUUAUUAUUAUUAUUAUUAUUAUUAUUAUUAUUAUUAUUAUUAUUAUUAUUAUUAUUAUUAUUAUUAUUAUUAUUAUUAUUAUUAUUAUUAUUUAUUAUUAUUAUUAUUAUUAUUAUUAUUAUUUUCUUCCUACUUACUUAAGC